Caenorhabditis elegans is the source of this 87-nucleotide small nucleolar RNA. NCBI's taxonomy places the organism in Eukaryota, Metazoa, Nematoda, Chromadorea, Rhabditida, Rhabditidae. The record is from RefSeq.
CAAGAGCUCAGACUAAGGCGUACUAUUUUUCUUUUCAGCAGACCGAGGCCCUCCAAAGGUGUCCUAAGUAAGUCAUCACAACUCUUG